Molecule: ribosomal RNA, 220 nt
Filed under: uncultured Glomus
Lineage: Eukaryota; Fungi; Glomeromycota; Glomeromycetes; Glomerales; Glomeraceae
Description: partial small subunit ribosomal RNA
Rfam family: Eukaryotic small subunit ribosomal RNA
Source: RNAcentral
CCAAUAGCGUAUAUUAAAGUUGUUGCAGUUAAAAAGCUCGUAGUUGAAUUUCGGGAUCAGUAUGUUGGUCGUGCUUCGGUACGUACUGUCAUUACUGGUUUCUACCUUCUGAAGAACCUUGAUGUCAUUAAUUUGGUGUCUUGGGGAAUCAGGACUGUUACUUUGAAAAAAUUAGAGUGUUUAAAGCAGGCAUACGCUUGAAUACAUUAGCAUGGAAUAA